RNAcentral lists this long non-coding RNA (1562 nucleotides) under Sus scrofa (pig). Its description in RNAcentral is "lncRNA (ENSSSCG00005040673.1)". Lineage: Eukaryota; Metazoa; Chordata; Mammalia; Artiodactyla; Suidae. The record is from RNAcentral.
CAUUUUUUUUAAUCUUUAUUUAAUGAUUUUCAUUUUUUUCCUUUAUAACUGGUUUACAGUGUUCUGUCAAUUUUCUACUGCACAGCAAGGUGACCCAGUCAUACAUACACACAAACAUUCCUUCUUCUCACAUCAUCAUGCCCCAUAACAAGUGACUAGAUAUAGUUCCCAGUACUGUACAGCAGGAUCUCAUUGCUUAUCCGUUCCAAAGGCAAUACAGCCUGCCUCUAUAAAUCCCAAAUUCCCAGUCCAUCCUACUCCCUCCUCUCUCCCUUGGUAACCACAAGUCUAUUCUCCAAGUCCACGAUUUUCUUUUCUGUGGAAAGGUUCAUUUGUGCCGUAUAUUAGAUUCCAGAUAUAAGCGAUAUUAUAUGGUAUUUGUCUUUCUCUUUCUGACUUAUUUCACUUAGCAUGAGAGUCUCUUGGUCCAUCCGUGUCGCUGCAAAUGACAUUACUUGUUUUUUUUAUGGCUGAGUAGUAUUCCAUUGUGUAUAUAUAACACAUCUUCUUAAUCCAAUCAUCUGUCAAUGGACAUUUAGGUUGUUUCCGUGUCUCAGCUAUUGCGGUUUCUGGGUAUUAAAACUUUUCUCAAGCAACUUUUAAAGUGAAAAACAUUAUGGGUGUGCUUUCACAGGUACAAAUACAGAGGCAAAGAAAGCAUAUACCACAAAACAUUAAGAGUAGGACUGAAGAAUGCUGAUGGCAUUUUCUAAAUUUUCUACGCUUACCCAUACUCUUUGUAGGAUUAAGGAAAGAAAAAAAUAAAUUUAAGAAUGACAUGGAAGGAGUUCCCGUCAUGGCACAACAGAAACGAAUCCAUCUAGUAUCCAUGAGAAUGCAUGUUUGAUCCCUGGCUUUGCUCAUGGGUUAAGUAACUGGCACUGCCGUAAGCUGUGAUGUAAGUAGCAGAUGUGGCCUGGGUCCUACGUUGCUGUGGCAUAGGCUAGGGGCUGCUGCCCCAAUUAGACCCCUAGCCUGGGAACUUCCAUUCAUCACACGCAUGGCCAAAAAAAAAAAAAGUGUGCCUAUGCCAAACCUUACUUGUAUAGAUUUUACAUAUUUAUUCUGAAAAUCAAAGUGUUCACAGAUGUCCCAUUACUAAAACUUAAAAGAUUUUUGUAGAGUUCUCAUCGUGGCACCGUGGUUAACGAAUCCAACGAGGAGCCAUGAGGUUGUGGGUUCAAUCCCUGGCCUUGCUCAGUGGGUUAAGAAUCUGGCGUUGCCACGAGUUGUGGUGUAGUCACAGACACGGUUCAGAUCCCGAGUUGCUGUGGCUGUGGUGUAGGCCAGCGGCUACAGCUCCAAUUAGAUCCCUAGCCUGAGAACCUCCAUAUGCCUCGAGUGCAGCCCUAGAAAAGACGGAAAAAAAAAAAAAAGACUUUUGCUUGACCAGCCAUUAGGCCAUGCCUGUUCCUCAAACAGAAGACAGAAAAGUCAAGCUCAUUUAUGUGUCCAACUUGUAAUGACCAACUGCUCCAGUAUUCUAGGCGCUCAACUCAGCCCUGGGAACUUGUAAACAGCAGUCACUUCAAAACAUCAACAGGUUUACACAGUCGUCUUGC